AUGUCACAUUUUUUGUGGGGUGACGAGGACAACCAGAAGAGGAUGCAUUGGAUGGCUCGGUGGAAAAUGCGUGUCCCAAAGAAUCAAGGGGGGAUGGGCUUUCGAGAUAUCCAAUGUUUCAAUCUAGCGAUGCUGGCAAAGCACGCUUGGCGGUUAAUCGAGAAUCCUGAAUCCCUUAGUGCUACUAUUUUGAGAGUGAAGUACUUUCCUGAUGGGGAUUUACUGAAUGCACAUCUGAAAAAGGGAUCUUCGUUCACCUGGCAGAGUAUCAUGGCGGGAGUGAAUUCUCUAAAACGUGGGUAUAUAUGGAGAGUGGGGAAUGGUCAGAAUAUUGAUAUUUGGGAGGACGGCUGGAUCCCAAAGUGUGCGGAUAGGAAAGUCAUCACGCCAAGAGGGAACCAUCUAAUCUCUCGGGUUGCUAAUUUUAUUGAUCCUAUUUCUAAUGAGUGGGAUGUGGAACUGGUUAGACAAACUCUUUGGUCCAUUGACGCACGACGAGUACUUCCUAUCCCUCUCUCUCAACAUGAUAUGCCGGAUUUUGUUGCAUGGAGCUAUACAAAAAUUGGUAUGUUCUCAGUUCGGUCAGCGUAUUUCAUGGAAUGGGAACAUUAA
Molecule: ribosomal RNA, 612 nt
Filed under: Triticum aestivum (bread wheat)
Lineage: Eukaryota; Viridiplantae; Streptophyta; Magnoliopsida; Poales; Poaceae
Description: partial small subunit ribosomal RNA
Source: RNAcentral